GAUGAACGCUGGCGGCGUGCCUAAUACAUGCAAGUCGAGCGGUAAGGCCUCUUCGGAGGUACACGAGCGGCGGACGGCUGAGUAACACGUAGGAACGUACCCCGAAGUGAGGGAUAAUUGCUCGAAAGAGUAGCUAAUACCGCAUGUGAUCUAAGGAUUAAAGCUUCGGCGCUUUGGGAACGGCCUGCGCAUGAUUAGCUAGUUGGUGAGGUAAUGGCUUACCAAGGCGACGAUCAUUAGCUGGUCUGAGAGGAUGAUCAGCCAGACUGGGACUGAGACACGGCCCAGACUCCUACGGGAGGCAGCAGUAGGGAAUUGUCCACAAUGGGCGAAAGCCUGAUGGAGCAACGCCGCGUGCAGGAUGAAUGCCUUCGGGUUGUAAACUGCUUUUAUAUGUGACGAUUAUGACGGUAGCAUAUGAAUAAGGAUCGGCUAACUCCGUGCCAGCAGCCGCCGUAA
This 459-nucleotide ribosomal RNA is filed under the name uncultured bacterium. RNAcentral's name for it is "partial 16S ribosomal RNA". It matches the Rfam family "Bacterial small subunit ribosomal RNA", at positions 28 to 523 of the family's 1533-position model. The record is from RNAcentral.